Molecule: unclassified non-coding RNA, 223 nt
Filed under: uncultured fungus
Lineage: Eukaryota; Fungi
Description: sequence contains ITS1
Source: RNAcentral
UUGAUUGAUUUUUUUGUUUCGUUUCUCAGACUGCAAAAAGGCGUUAAACACCACGAGUUUGGUAAAACUCUCGGCGGGAAUCCAGGCACGCGAGGCGAACAGAAGUCCACCCCACCUCCCAUCCCCCGCCGAGGCAACGGGUUCAUCGUACGCAAAGGGUGGAGGGCGUCCCCAAAGGAGACGCGUCUCGGUAAUGAUCCUUCCGCAGGUUCACCUACGGAAA